UUACUUUAACAUGAACUAAUGCUGAGUUACAGCAUAUCAUAUAUUGAAGAGUCAUCAUUAACUACAACAUGACAUGUUUUUCAUUGUUAGUUAAUGCAGUCAUUUACAAUAAAUUAAUUUGAGUUCAUGUUGUAGUUAAGUAAGUUCAGUAAGUUACAUGUCUUAACUCAGCAUUAGUUUAUAUUUACUUAUAUUUAAGUAAGAAUUAAUUUAGGUAUACGUUCAAUGUUUCCAAUGAUGAGCAGUUAAUCCACUAAACCCAGAGAUAAUUCCUGAGGCAUGUUUAAAGAGUUUUGUAUUUCAUCAAGAAGGUGCUGAUUCACAAAGAUUUUAAAUUUAAGAAAAUCUGAGCAUCAUUCCAAAUAACUGUUAACAUGUUUGUCAACUAAACAUGUUUUGUAAACGUAAUAAACUUUAUAAAAAUAUUUUUUAUUUUGUAUUAAUAAUCAAGUAUAAAGAACAAUGCAUAGUGUGAAAAUGCGGAUUAUAAAAAAGUAUAUUAAAGAAAAGGACUACAUUUCCCAGAAUGCACCUGCACCCACUCAUCUGACUGCCCCCACCCUUCAGGUGCGACUGCUCAACCUAUGGGCUUGACGGAAAAUUCAAAUCGCGAACCGUUACUGCCUGGACUACUCCGUCUCUUAUUAGUUUGUUUGCUCAUUAACAGUAAGAGGUCAUGUACACUGUGGUCAACUUUGUGGACGAUGAAGAGGUUUCUGGGUAAAGAUGAUAGAAAUAUAAUGAAGUAACAGUGAAAGCUAAAACAUCAGACUGAUCCAGACACUGAAGAAAUUGAUGUCACUGCAAUCUGGCCAAAAUGAUACAACAAUAUUGAAGUAGCCUACUGUAAUGAAGCUGCAGAACAACACAGAGACUCUUGAGGACAUCAACACAGAAAAUGAAGGCUCCAAAGAGAUGUCUGUCCAGAUGAGGGUGCAUCAAUGUUACGUUUGCUGACAAGUAUAUGCUUUACAAUGUAAAACCUAACAGUUAACUUAACUCAAACCAUUUAAGGAAAUCGGUUGCCUUAACCCAUU
Paramisgurnus dabryanus is the source of this 1037-nucleotide non-coding RNA. Lineage: Eukaryota; Metazoa; Chordata; Actinopteri; Cypriniformes; Cobitidae. The record is from RefSeq and is a predicted model, not a curated record.